This is a long non-coding RNA of Exaiptasia diaphana, 195 nucleotides long. RefSeq lists it as uncharacterized. The transcript is spliced from 2 exons. Lineage: Eukaryota; Metazoa; Cnidaria; Anthozoa; Actiniaria; Aiptasiidae. The record is from RefSeq and is a predicted model, not a curated record.
AGUAGUCAAGACAUACUAUACUUGGGCGUCAAUGAGGAUAGAGCUGUAUGGGUGCAAAUAUUAGUAAAGCUCACCAUUUAUGCAGUCAGUCCUGAUGGAGACCCCCCCCGUAAAUAAGUGGAUAACAAUAAAACAUGUGAUACAGAUAAGGAAAUGCCAAUUAUAAAGGCUUUGAAUAAAUUAAAUGAAGAUUAA